Molecule: ribosomal RNA, 492 nt
Filed under: uncultured bacterium
Lineage: Bacteria
Description: partial 16S ribosomal RNA
Rfam family: Bacterial small subunit ribosomal RNA
Source: RNAcentral
AGUGAACGCUGGCGGUAGGCCUAACACAUGCAAGUCGAACGGCAGCACAGUAAGAGCUUGCUCUUACGGGUGGCGAGUGGCGGACGGGUGAGGAAUACAUCGGAAUCUACUUUUUCGUGGGGGAUAACGUAGGGAAACUUACGCUAAUACCGCAUACGACCUACGGGUGAAAGCAGGGGAUCUUCGGACCUUGCGCGAUUGAAUGAGCCGAUGUCGGAUUAGCCAGUUGGCGGGGUAAAGGCCCACCAAGGCGACGAUCCGUAGCUGGUCUGAGAGGAUGAUCGGCCACACUGGAACUGAGACACGGUCCAGACUCCUACGGGAGGCAGCAGUAGGGAAUUUUGAGCAAUGGGCGAAAGCCUGACCGAGCAACACCGCGGGGGUGAUGAAGGCCUUCGGGUUGUAAAACCCUGUUGUUGGGGAAGAAAAGAAGUGGAUUAAACCCCGCCUGUCUUGACGGUACCAAAACAGAAAGCACCGGCUAACUACGUG